GGAAGUAAAAGUCGUAAAGGUUUCCGUAGGUGAACCUGCGGAAGGAUCAUUAUUGUAUAACCGAGGUGCGAGGGCUGUCGCUGACCCGAAAGGUCGUGCACGCCCGAGUGCCCUCACACACAUCCAUCUCACCCCUAUGUGCACCACCGCGUGGGUCCCCCUUUGGCUUGUUCGGAGGGGGGCUUACGUUUUCACACAAACUUUGUAUGCAGUGUAGAAUGUAUUUUUUGUUUUUGCGAUCACGCAAUCAAUACAACUUUCAACAACGGAUCUCUUGGCUCUC
RNAcentral lists this unclassified non-coding RNA (283 nucleotides) under plant metagenome. RNAcentral's name for it is "partial contains small subunit ribosomal RNA, internal transcribed spacer 1, and 5.8S ribosomal RNA". The stretch from base 1 to 52 matches the Rfam family "Eukaryotic small subunit ribosomal RNA", at positions 1778 to 1831 of the family's 1831-position model. The record is from RNAcentral.